CCCGUGUUCGGCUCCACGUCACUGCUGGGGCCACGGGAUUUGUUUUGCUGGGCAACUUCCUCCAGAGCUGGUUUCACAAGGAUUACUCACUUGAAUCAUGGUGCCCAUUAACUUUCAGCUGUCUGGAAAAACUGAUGGCCUGAGUGGGAAAGGAGUCCCAGACACUUCCUCACACACACAGGCUGGAGCAGAUUACAGGGAGUGAUCCCGGACUUGUCUGGGUGCUGCGGGAGCCAGCACGGGUUAUCCAUGAGAAAACCCUCUGAGCAAAGCAAGGAUGUCCCUGGCACGGCUGGACUGGGCUAUCCCGGGAUGUUUGUGUUGGUGUUGCCUGGGACACCCAGGUUUGGUGCUGCUGACGUUGCACUCCCGCUCCUCAUUGUUCUCCAGGGUCGGUCAGAGCCAGGUUCUUCCCUGUUUCAGGAAGUUUCCUCACGAGAAAGUGCAUUUCUUCAGCACCUUUUGUGUUUCCCCCUUGAAGUUCUCCACAUUUCCGCCUCUCCCUUGCCUGGCAGAGCUCAAGAAGCUUCUUUUCCAAGUCAAACCCAGCUGAAUGAUUGUCUCUUCUGGCUGGAAAACGGAGAAGGAGAAGCCAGGGAGCUGGAACAAGUGCAUGAGGAAUUACUGUCCCAGAAAUCUCUCCUGAAGGAACACUGGUUAUCUUCAGCUGGUGGGGGCAAAGCUGUCAGAAAGAAAAAUUUAUUAUUACUUUAACAAACAAUCCUAGGAGCUAUUUCAAGUGUUAUUGUUGCAUGAAAGAAUAAAAGAGGAAACAAAUUCUGUGCUAUUCA
This 791-nucleotide long non-coding RNA is filed under the name Cyanistes caeruleus (blue tit). RNAcentral's name for it is "lncRNA (ENSCCEG00000009757.1)". The record is from RNAcentral. Lineage: Eukaryota; Metazoa; Chordata; Aves; Passeriformes; Paridae.